Molecule: long non-coding RNA, 1190 nt
Organism: Panicum virgatum (switchgrass)
Lineage: Eukaryota; Viridiplantae; Streptophyta; Magnoliopsida; Poales; Poaceae
Exons: 4
Source: RefSeq, a predicted model, not a curated record
CACUGUGCCUCGAUGGCCAAUUCAUGCCUCGCGUCUGAGGUAGAGAAUCCCCUCCCGCCGGGCCCAGUUGUCAGAUGCAUCCUCUUCCUCGAAUUGCAGACUUGCUGGCAUCCUCGAUCCCAUCUCUAACCACAUCUUCCCUUUCAAACCCUCUUCCUCUUCUCCCAUCUAUCAUCGGGACAGCCGCUGGGGCGGAGCCGCAGCCCAGCCAGCAGCCGACUCUCGGGGAGAUUACGCUCAAGGAGUUCUUGGUCAGGGCCAUCGUCGUCCGGGACAACCCCGCCGCCGCGGCGAUGGCGGCGGUCCCUGCAAAGCCGGUGGCUCCGCGGCCGAUUCAGGUGGUCAGCAAUGGCGCCUCCAUGAUCCGCGGCGGCAGAGGAGGAUGAUCAAGAACAGGGAAUCUCUGCAGCUAGAUCCCGUGCACGGAAGCAGGUAAUACUCUUGUCUAGAAUUCUGGCAUGUGUCUGCUGCAGGUGUUGUACCUUGACAACAUGGAUUUUGGAACUCUGGACCAUAUACACUUACCAAUGCCCCGUGUUUGUUGUUAUGAGGAUCAAUUAUUAAGGCAACUAAUUGAAGCUGACAAAUAGCCUUGGGAUUGCUUUGGUCAAUCAAAGCCAAGAAAUGUUGGAUCAGUGUGUUACUCCAGGUGUAGGAGAAUGAAGGCUCCCACCACCCAAAAUAAUGCAGAUGUACGCAUGGUUUAGGGUUAUGUAGCUAUGCAACCAACUUGGUCUUUUGAAGUCCGGAAUCGCUGCUUUUCUUUACAGGAGGUUUGCUCGGAUGCUAGCCAAGAAAAGUUGAGUUUGGAGGUAGUUACCGCACUCUGUUUGGCAUUCUAGAUUUCUAUUUCUAAAGCAUUUGAUCAGGUCAUAGAGACACAGCACAAAGUCUUGAUGGAGAGCAUAAUUAGUUUGCUCAACCCUUGCCAUGAAGACCAAGAACAAAGGCAUGCACGGCGGGGCUUGAGAUGGAAGGUUCUAGCACGCCGGAGGAAAAUAGUUCAUCCUGUUCCAAUUUCAACCCAUCCUACCUACUCAAUGUAACUUUGUUGGCGAGGUGAAUUCCCUGGAUUUGAAGAAUAUGAAGAAAGCAACAAUGUUGCCAGCACUGGUGCUGUGCAUGAAGAUCUUCUUGGCACGAUUUUAGAAAACAAUAUGAUACAGCUAAUCACCACUGAUAUGGAAGCA